AGUGAACGCUGGCGGUAGGCCUAACACAUGCAAGUCGAACGGCAGCACAGUAAGAGCUUGCUCUUACGGGUGGCGAGUGGCGGACGGGUGAGGAAUACAUCGGAAUCUACUUUUUCGUGGGGGAUAACGUAGGGAAACUUACGCUAAUACCGCAUACGACCUACGGGUGAAAGCAGGGGAUCUUCGGACCUUGCGCGAUUGAAUGAGCCGAUGUCGGAUUAGCUAGUUGGCGGGGUAAAGGCCCACCAAGGCGACGAUCCGUAGCUGGUCUGAGAGGAUGAUCAGCCACACUGGAACUGAGACACGGUCCAGACUCCUACGGGAGGCAGCAGUGGGGAAUAUUGGACAAUGGGCGGAAGCCUGAUCCAGCCAUACCACGUGGGUGAAGAAGGCCUUCGGGUUGUAAAGCCCUUUUGUUGGGAAAGAAAAGCAGCAGGUUAAUACCCCGCUGUUCUGACGGUACCCAAAGAAUAAGCACCGGCUAACUUCGUG
This 492-nucleotide ribosomal RNA is filed under the name uncultured bacterium. RNAcentral describes it as "partial 16S ribosomal RNA". It matches the Rfam family "Bacterial small subunit ribosomal RNA", at positions 29 to 507 of the family's 1533-position model. The record is from RNAcentral.